AGCGAACGUUUGCGGCGGGCUUAACACAUGCAAGUCGAACGGGCUGUUCCUUCGGGGGCAGUCAGUGGCGCACGGGUGCGUAACACGUAGGUAAUCAACCCUCUGGUUGGGGAUAACACUUCGAAAGGAGUGCUAAUACCCGGUAUGGCGCAGCGGUCUUCGGAUCGCGGCGAGAAAGACCCGCAAGGGUUGCCAGAGGACGAGCCUGCGGCCCAUCAGCUAGUUGGCGAGGUAACGGCUCACCAAGGCGAAGACGGGUAGCUGGUCUGAGAGGAUGAUCAGCCACACUGGAACUGAGACACGGUCCAGACUCCUACGGGAGGCAGCAGUGGGGAAUAUUGCGCAACGGGCGAAAGCCUGACGCAGCCACGCCGCGUGAGCGAUGAAGGCCUUC
RNAcentral lists this ribosomal RNA (394 nucleotides) under uncultured bacterium. RNAcentral describes it as "bacterial SSU rRNA". It matches the Rfam family "Bacterial small subunit ribosomal RNA", at positions 29 to 419 of the family's 1533-position model. The record is from RNAcentral.